UUUGGUACUUGAAGAGAGGAUACCCUUUGUAUGUUCACUUUAUUAAUGGCGAAUAUACAGAGGGAGACUCUUAUUUGCGUAUCAAA
This is a microRNA precursor of Balaenoptera musculus (blue whale), 86 nucleotides long. The record is from Ensembl. NCBI's taxonomy places the organism in Eukaryota, Metazoa, Chordata, Mammalia, Artiodactyla, Balaenopteridae.